AGAUGCGAGGGCAAUCUGGCUGCAACACCUGUCACCCCAUUGAUCCCCAGGGUUAAUUUGGCUAAUCUGGCUGGCUAGGUGGGUGUCCCCUUCCUCCCUCACUGCUCCAUGUGUGUCCCUCCAGAAGCUGAGAUAGGUUGAAGAGGAAGGCAUUCAGGGAAUAGAGAUGGACCGGUCUUUGGUUGAGGGUAUAUGAGUAAAUGUGCUCCCCUGCUAGAACCUCCAAACAAGCUCUCAAGGUCCAAAGGGUGUGCUCCCUAACAAAGUUGCAGACUCCAGAUGAUUAGGCUAGGGCCUAGAGGA
RNAcentral lists this small nuclear RNA (303 nucleotides) under Erinaceus europaeus (western European hedgehog). RNAcentral describes it as "7SK RNA". It matches the Rfam family "7SK RNA". From Rfam's summary of the family: 7SK was discovered as an abundant small nuclear RNA in the mid-70s but a possible function has only recently been suggested. Two independent studies have found that 7SK RNA binds the CDK9/cyclin T complex (known as elongation factor P-TEFb). The record is from Rfam by way of RNAcentral. Lineage: Eukaryota; Metazoa; Chordata; Mammalia; Eulipotyphla; Erinaceidae.